GGUAGUCUUCAACUAAUUUAACCACACGUUUAAUUCUUAAAAGACAAAGUGGGGAGUGCCCCAUUUGAGAAUCAACCAUAUUCUGGGGAGUGUCUUGUCUAAAGGACAACCACAUCAUUUCUCUUGCGAGAGGUCGAAAUCACAAAAUCCAGUGGUUGUCCCUCGCCAAAAAAAAGUGAGACAGUCACAAGUCCUUUCAAACCAAAUAAACAAACGUC
RNAcentral lists this long non-coding RNA (218 nucleotides) under Lathyrus oleraceus (garden pea). RNAcentral describes it as "Pisum sativum (pea) long non-coding RNA (PSAT_LNC020075)". The record is from RNAcentral. Lineage: Eukaryota; Viridiplantae; Streptophyta; Magnoliopsida; Fabales; Fabaceae.